CCUACGGGCGGCAGCAGUGAGGAAUAUUGGUCAAUGGGCGGAAGCCUGAACCAGCCAAGUCGCGUGAGGGAAUAAGGCCCUACGGGUCGUAAACCUCUUUUGCCGGGGAGCAAGGGCCGGGACGAGUCCCGGUCCGGAGAGUACCCGGAGAAAAAGCAUGGGCUAACUCCGUGCCAGCAGCCGCGGUAAUACGGAGGAUGCGAGCGUUAUCCGGAUUUAUUGGGUUUAAAGGGUGCGUGGGCGGGCUUUUAAGUCAGCGGUAAAAAUUCGGGGCUCAACCCCGUCCGGCCGUUGAAACUGGGGGCCUUGAGUGGGCGAGAGGAAGGCGGAAUGCGUGGUGUAGCGGUGAAAUGCAUAGAUAUCACGCAGAACCCCGAUUGCGAAGGCAGCCUUCCGGCGCCCUACUGACGCUGAGGCACGAAAGUGCGGGGAUCGAACAGGAUUAGAUACCCGAGUAGUC
This 460-nucleotide ribosomal RNA is filed under the name uncultured bacterium. Its description in RNAcentral is "partial 16S ribosomal RNA". It matches the Rfam family "Bacterial small subunit ribosomal RNA", at positions 338 to 795 of the family's 1533-position model. The record is from RNAcentral.